GACUCCAGUGUGCCGCGCAGUGUGCGCAAAUUCGCAAACCCGCCCGCUGAGUUGGUCGUUUCGGAAUCCCGAGACUUGAAACCCAGCGGGAAGACCCUUCUCACCCUCAAAAGAUGACAGCCCGCAGAGAGUUAACUUCUGUUUACAUGGAACUCAGACAUCUGCAAAUCAUGAUUUCAAGGCCAGAGAAUGGCAGGGGAACAGAAACCCUCAAGUAAUCUCCUGGAGCAGUUUAUUUUACUAGCCAAAGGUACCAGUGGCUCAGCCCUCACUGCUCUCAUAAGCCAGGUCUUAGAGGCUCCUGGAGUGUAUGUCUUUGGAGAACUUCUGGAGCUGGCCAACGUGCAGGAGCUUGCGGAAGGAGCUAAUGCUGCUUAUUUGCAGUUGUUGAACCUGUUUGCCUAUGGGACAUACCCAGAUUACAUAGGUGAGUUGGUGAAGAUCCUUCAAAAGACUUGUGUUAAUUGUGUUGCUCAGUUUGGAAGACCAUCAAGGUUUGAGAUAUAAAGCAUGGGGUAGUGGGGAGACUUCUUGACCUGGCUGCCUCCCAUUUUGCUGUGCCUGGUGGGUGACCUCACAAAGGGAAUGUUCCUUC
Molecule: small RNA, 595 nt
Filed under: Pongo abelii (Sumatran orangutan)
Lineage: Eukaryota; Metazoa; Chordata; Mammalia; Primates; Hominidae
Description: retained intron
Source: RNAcentral